AUUUGUUCCUUGAUAGAAGAAAAAUACAGGCAUGUGUAUUUUUUUCCUUUUUUUAACUUAUAUCUUCUGUAGCAUGAUUAUAUCAAGUUUAGUAUCUAAGUGAUACUAAAAAUCUCAGGCCUAUAUGGCCUAUUUACAAGUUCAUAUUUAAGACAACUCCACAUUUUGAGUUCAGGAAGGAUUUUUUGUUUCAGCAUAGAGCAGCCAUCUGCUCUUUGUAAUUCAAGAAUUUCACCUAUCAUGUCCAUCCUACCAAAGGAAAUUUUAGCAUAUUUCUCUCUCUCUCUCUCUUUUUUUUUUUUUUUUUUUUUUGAGUAGGACAUUGCCUCUGAAAAGCUUGGUGUGUUUUUUUUUCCCAAAAAAUGUUUUUGUUUUUUUUUUUUCAUAACAUAUUGACACUAUUGCCUGCACAAUGUAUAGAAUGUUCUGUUGUCCUUCCAGAAAUUGCUAGGCAACCUGUAUGCAACCUGUUACUAUGAGGGACUGGGCUACAGAACAUAGCUAGACCAACAUGACAAGGCUUGAGCAAGAAUUGGGAAGCCAGUAACUGUAGGGGAAUUGUGGGUCACAAACAUGUAAUACUGACUCUACAACCUUGGAAAUUUAGACUAAGGUGCCUUAACAAAGCAGAACCUUCUCAAGAGAAUGCCUUACAAGGAGAUAAAUAAAAAAACUUCACCGCAGAUACAGCUGCAAACUCCAUUGUCCAGGAACAGCUGGCGACUCCAGACCCCUGAAUACAGCUGUCCUUCAUAUUUGGGACAUGUUUCCUUUUCUGGUAGGUACACAUCCUAUGUGAUUCUCCUGUUCUGAAUGUUUGCUUUAAACACUUAAAAAGUUUUUGAUGUUUAAUAAGGGAUGGUGUGUGUGUAUGGGAGAGGCCUGGGGAGGUCGUAUCUGGAAACAUCUUAACCAUCUUCAAAUAGAAGAGAAGAUAAAUUCACUUUCUCUUCUGCUCCCUCACUGUUGAACAGUUCCUCCUCGACACUGCCAGGGGAAUGCUACUUUUUUUCUUCACUUCAAAUAGUUAAAUAAAUAAAAGCGGUGGCCCUGUUUACUAUCUCA
Molecule: long non-coding RNA, 1065 nt
Filed under: Phasianus colchicus (ring-necked pheasant)
Lineage: Eukaryota; Metazoa; Chordata; Aves; Galliformes; Phasianidae
Description: lncRNA (ENSPCLG00000013300.1)
Source: RNAcentral